UACGGAGGUGGCAAGCGUUGUUCGGAAUUACUGGGCGUAAAGGGCGCGUAGGCGGCUAGGCAAGUCAGGUGUGAAAGCCCCGAGCUUAACUCGGGAACUGCAUCUGAAACUGCUGGGCUUGAGUUCUGGAGGGGGUAGUGGAAUUCCCAGUGUAGCGGUGAAAUGCGUAGAUAUUGGGAGGAACACCUGCGGCGAAGGCGGCUACCUGGACAGAAACUGACGCUGAGGCGCGAAAGCUAGGGGAGCGAACAGG
Molecule: ribosomal RNA, 253 nt
Filed under: uncultured bacterium
Lineage: Bacteria
Description: partial 16S ribosomal RNA
Rfam family: Bacterial small subunit ribosomal RNA
Source: RNAcentral